UAGCUCAGUGGGAGAGCAAGUGCUUACCAUGCAUGAGGCCCUGGGUUCAAUCCCCAG
RNAcentral lists this transfer RNA (57 nucleotides) under Heterocephalus glaber (naked mole-rat). It matches the Rfam family "tRNA", at positions 8 to 63 of the family's 71-position model. Rfam says of the family: Transfer RNA (tRNA) molecules are approximately 80 nucleotides in length. Their secondary structure includes four short double-helical elements and three loops (D, anti-codon, and T loops). Lineage: Eukaryota; Metazoa; Chordata; Mammalia; Rodentia; Bathyergidae. The record is from Rfam by way of RNAcentral.